AAUUAAUGAACUUGUCUAAAAAGUAUUUGUUUUGAAAACUUAUUAAAGAAUUUAAUUCUAUUAAUUU
RNAcentral lists this transfer RNA (67 nucleotides) under Nyctiophylax orbicularis. RNAcentral describes it as "tRNA-Ser". The record is from RNAcentral. Lineage: Eukaryota; Metazoa; Arthropoda; Insecta; Trichoptera; Polycentropodidae.